Molecule: long non-coding RNA, 243 nt
Filed under: Ananas comosus (pineapple)
Lineage: Eukaryota; Viridiplantae; Streptophyta; Magnoliopsida; Poales; Bromeliaceae
Description: long non-coding RNA (ACOM_LNC021056)
Source: RNAcentral
UACCGGAUUUUAAUUUAAAAGUGAAUAUAAAUAAAAAUAGUAUGAGAUACUAUUUUUAUUGGACUUGUAGAAGUAAAAUAUAAGUCAGAAAUGACUCGUGCUGAAAUCAGAGCGAAAACAGAAGAUUUAGAAUUUUCUGUAAGAAACGGGACUGAUAUUUUAGCAGAAAAUGCACAGCGUCAGAAAAUUAUGAAAACUAGAGAAUAUGUCAGAAUUAUUUUUAUGAGGCUAGAUUUAAAGUUU